RNAcentral lists this ribosomal RNA (479 nucleotides) under Pleurocapsa minor. RNAcentral describes it as "bacterial SSU rRNA". It matches the Rfam family "Bacterial small subunit ribosomal RNA", at positions 344 to 837 of the family's 1533-position model. Lineage: Bacteria; Bacillati; Cyanobacteriota; Cyanophyceae; Pleurocapsales; Pleurocapsaceae. The record is from RNAcentral.
GGAGGCAGCAGUGGGGAAUUUUCCGCAAUGGGCGAAAGCCUGACGGAGCAACGCCGCGUGAGGGAGGAAGGCCUUUGGGUUGUAAACCUCUUUUGCUCGGGAAGAAGAAAGUGACGGUACCGAGCGAAUCAGCCUCGGCUAACUCCGUGCCAGCAGCCGCGGUAAGACGGAGGAGGCAAGCGUUAUCCGGAAUCAUUGGGCGUAAAGAGUCCGUAGGUGGCAACGCAAGUCGGCGGUCAAAGACCGGAGCUUAACUCCGGAGCGGCCGUGGAAACUGCGCAGCUAGAGUCCGGUAGGGGUAGCGGGAAUUCCCAGUGUAGCGGUGAAAUGCGUAGAGAUUGGGAAGAACAUCGGUGGCGAAAGCGCGCUACUGGGCCGGAACUGACACUGAGGGACGAAAGCUAGGGGAGCGAAAGGGAUUAGAUACCCCUGUAGUCCUAGCUGUAAACGAUGGAAACUAGGCGUGGCUUGUAUCGACC